Long non-coding RNA from Solea senegalensis (Senegalese sole), 621 nucleotides. RefSeq lists it as uncharacterized. Lineage: Eukaryota; Metazoa; Chordata; Actinopteri; Pleuronectiformes; Soleidae. The record is from RefSeq and is a predicted model, not a curated record. The transcript has 3 exons.
UACAAAACUACAGUAUCAGUGAUACUGUCAUUGACACAUCUACUCUAAUGUACAGCGGUUGCAAAGGUGACUGAGCUGGCGUUGUCACUUACCCUUUGAGACUCAGGUCUAUCAUGUUAUAAUUUGGGUGGUGCUGUUUUUCUGGUUAAUAAUUGCACUAGGAAGCAGUUAAAAAUCUCACCUCAGGUGUGUGUUGGCAUCAUUUGGACUGAAGCCUUUGCACUGAGGAGAGAGGAGAAGCUUUGGCUGUGCCACGCAGCUCAGAUUCCUGGUUGACCUUUCACCCACUUUCUCGCUGUCUUCGGUUCACACAUGCAAACAUAGACCCACCCAGCGUUUGUGUUGACGGACCGACAAAAGCUUUACAGUCUUUCCUCCUUCUCAGCUCCUUCUUGUACCAUCUCAUUCUUUUCUUCCUUCCAUCCUACCUUUCCCUUCAAAUUUUCCUUUGCAUGGCUCAUAAUGUAACAUAUUAAAAAUUGACAAAAAAUGCUGAGAGAAGUGCUAGAUCUCACCCUCCUUGCACAAUUAUUUGUUUACUUAUGUAUUUUACAUAAGUAAAUGUAGCUGGGUUAGAGCACUCCUAAACUUUUUUUUUAUUAUUAUCCCUCUCUUUCUUUC